This 958-nucleotide long non-coding RNA is filed under the name Setaria italica (foxtail millet). RNAcentral describes it as "long non-coding RNA (SITA_LNC000855)". The record is from RNAcentral. Lineage: Eukaryota; Viridiplantae; Streptophyta; Magnoliopsida; Poales; Poaceae.
AUUCACUUACCUUCCCAUUUCCUGUUCAUGUUCAUUUGUCGUUGAUCCCUGCAAUUUUAUCUGGUUUUAAGCACUAAGCACGACUGCUUCUAUCAUCUUAUGCAGAGCCUGAAAUUUACAAGGAAGUGAAACAGAAGCUGGAUGAUGGUUCAGUCAAAUUUGAGGUGACACUGAUUUAAAUUAUAAUGGUUUAUUUCCUGGUAUUUUAGAGCCAAUCAUAGUGAGCUACUUGCCCUGCUGUUGUCUGUUGCUGAGAAUGAGCGUUUCUUAGUAGGCUAUUUUCCCUUCAAAUCCAAGUGCUGAUAAAUCCCACAGUAGAGUGACAAAUUCUUUCAAAAGCAACAAUAUUCAAGCCUAGUACUGCCCAAUUUGUGUUAUUUCAACAACAAUGCUAUAUGGUAUUUAUUAUCUUCCACGCAAUUUAUUCUUUGUUUUUGCCUAAGCAGGUUCUAUGUGACAAGGAUCGAACACCCAAAAAGGUAUGGCAUGCUCACCCUGGAGUUUAACAAUUCCUCAGCAUAAUACAAUGACAACUGAUAAUUGCUUUUUGCAAAUACAACAGGCACAAGUAAUGGGACAUUUGGAACGGAGAGUUUUGGAAGUGAAUCGAAAGAGGAUAAAAGUAGUAAAGCCUGGAUCCAAGACAUCAUUUCCAUCUACCGAAGUACGAGGAACAUAUGCUCCACCCUUCCAUGUGAGUUCUUCCCGCGAAAUCAGCAGAUAGAAAUUGCUGUUAUCCUGUUACUACAUCUAUUACAUGUAGAUAUUUGCUCGACUAUUAGAUGCAGAUACGAUGGUAACAAUGAAUCGAACCUUUCAGGUUGAGCUGUAUCGCAACGAUCAGCACCGCUUCAAGAUUGUCGUCGACAGUGACAACGAAGUCGACUUGAUGGUGCAGACGCGGCACAUGCGAGACGUCGUCAUCCUCACGAUCAGAGGCCUUGCCCAGAAGUUCAAC